AGUUUGCAUGCAUGAAUAUGAUGCUAGAGUAUAAGGGAGUUUCACCUAAUAGUUACAAACUUAUAUUCACUAGUAGUGGAGGUCGCUUAUAAAUGAUCGCGUUAAAUAAAUUCUUGGCAGGAGUUUCAUGCUCAUCAUAGUAACGAAUGCCUCGUCAAUACUUAUAGUUUUCAUAAUGCUUAAUGAUCUUUGAUUGUAUCUUUAUUGUACUGUUCACGUAAAGAACUUUUGAAGAAUGCUUGAAUUGUUGUAUGCGCUUUCCCAUCCAAUUCAAUAACUUAAGGAGAACUUGAAGGUUAAUUUAAGCGAACUUAAUUAACCUGGGGUGUUGAGUUUCAUGAUUGAUCGAAAGAACAACUGAAAAUUGGUUUAUGUGCAAGUAUGUCAUGUGUGGAGAAGAACCUCCUAGCUAGCCUUCCAUCCAUUCAAUUUACUCAAAUUCGUGCAGAUUUCAUUAGUUCUUUAAUUUACUUGUUUUGUUUUCAAAUUCGUCAAAACCAAAACCCCCUUUACUUUAAAGUGUUUUAUUAGUCAAAAUCUGUUUUGAUUUGUGUUUUUAUGUGUCCCAAAAGUGUGUUAGAGUCCAAAUCUGCCCAGUUUGUGUUUUUAGGCAGAUUUGAGCGUUUUUAGCUUGUUUUGAGUGCUUUGAGUUUGUUUUAAGUUCUUUGAGUCUAGUUUAGUGUUUUUAACUUUGUUUAUAUGUUUUUAAGUCAGUUUAGAGGUUUUAGCAAGCCCUCAUAAUCCCCGGUUUAGAAUGAUCCCUACUUGCAUUUAUACUACAAUUUGACAACAAGAGGGUUUAAUUUGUGUGUUAAGUUAAUUUUCGCAUCAAAGCUUUGGAGUUGAAGCUUUUGUUGGGUACUAUGAAUAUAUUUUGCUUCACACUAUCUUGAUCAAGAUAGUGUGAAGCUUUUGAGAAUUUGUAGUUGUCCUCCAUUGAUGAAGCUUUUGUUGGUGAAGCUUUGGAGUUGAAGCUUUUGUUGGUGAAGCUUUUAUGGGUGAAGCUUUUGUUGGGUACCAUGAAUUGAUUUUGCUUCACACUAUCUUGAUCAACAUAGUGUGAAGCUUUUGAGAUUUUGUAGUUGUCCUCCAUUGAUGAAGCUUUGUUGAAUUUCCCUUUAAUUCUUUUUUUUUUGGGAAACUAGAAAUUUGAAAAUGUGGGAGAGACAACAUAUGCAAAUUUUGCUUCCACACUGUUGAGCAAGAGAUUGUGAUGCAAGCCACACUUUGUAGUAGUCAAAGGUUUGGAUGAACCAUAUAAAUUGAAAUUGCUUCGAAGAGUCUUGAAUUUGCUUCGAAGGUUUGAGAAUUGUAGUUGCCCUCCAUUGAUGAAGCUUUUGUUGGCACCAUAAAUUGGUUUUGCUUCACACUGUCUUGAUCAAGAGUGUGUGAAGCUUUUGAGAAUUGUGGUUGAACUCCUUUGAUGAAGCUUUUGUUGGCACCAUAAAUUGGUUUUGCUUUACAUUGUCUUGAUCAAGAGUGUGUAAAGCUUUUGUUGGCAUCAUAAAUUGGUUUUGCUUCACACUGUGUUGAUCAAGAGUGUGUGAAGCUUUUGAGAAUUGUUGUUGAACUUCUUUGAUGAAGCUCUUGUUGGCACCAUAAAUUGGUUUUGCUUCACACUGUCUUGAUCAAGAGUGUGUAAAGCUUUUGAGAAUUGUGGUUGCCCUCCAUUGAUGAAGCUCUUGUUGGCACCAUAAAUU
This 1700-nucleotide long non-coding RNA is filed under the name Malus domestica (apple). RNAcentral's name for it is "long non-coding RNA (MDOM_LNC012891)". Lineage: Eukaryota; Viridiplantae; Streptophyta; Magnoliopsida; Rosales; Rosaceae. The record is from RNAcentral.